Molecule: long non-coding RNA, 249 nt
Filed under: Lathyrus oleraceus (garden pea)
Lineage: Eukaryota; Viridiplantae; Streptophyta; Magnoliopsida; Fabales; Fabaceae
Description: Pisum sativum (pea) long non-coding RNA (PSAT_LNC001857)
Source: RNAcentral
UGGAUCAUGAGUGAUUAGUCAUAAAUAUAUUACUAUCAAUAAUAUAUGAUAUAAUUUUUGUUUGAAAAAUGGAAAAAAGAAGAGAUAAACAAGCAAAAUGUAGGACUGACCCGCGACAAGGUUGAACUCGUGACCUGUGGGAAGCAGGAGACCACCUCAACCACUAGGCCAGAGUUCUUCCUCCUUAGCUAUGCUCGUUGCAUUUAAAUAAAACAAAAGUUACACAAAUUGAAGCAGCAAUAUGCAUUU